Molecule: ribosomal RNA, 668 nt
Filed under: uncultured bacterium
Lineage: Bacteria
Description: bacterial SSU rRNA
Rfam family: Bacterial small subunit ribosomal RNA
Source: RNAcentral
UUCACGCCGCGUGAGGGAUGAACGCCUCUGGGCUGUAAACCUCUUUUAUCAAGGAAGAAGACUGACGGUACUUGAUGAAUAAGCCACGGCUAAUUCCGUGCCAGCAGCCGCGGUAAUACGGGAGUGGCAAGCGUUAUCCGGAAUUAUUGGGCGUAAAGCGUCCGCAGGCGGUCUUGUAAGUCUGUCGUUAAAGCGUGGAGCUUAACUCCAUUUGAGCGAUGGAAACUGCAAGACUAGAGUGUGGUAGGGGCAGAGGGAAUUCCCGGUGUAGCGGUGAAAUGCGUAGAUAUCGGGAAGAACACCAGUGGCGAAGGCGCUCUGCUGGGCCAUAACUGACGCUCAUGGACGAAAGCCAGGGGAGCGAAAGGGAUUAGAUACCCCUGUAGUCCUGGCCGUAAACGAUGAACACUAGGUGUCGGGGGAAUCGACCCCCUCGGUGUCGUAGCCAACGCGUUAAGUGUUCCGCCUGGGGAGUACGCACGCAAGUGUGAAACUCAAAGGAAUUGACGGGGGCCCGCACAAGCGGUGGAGUAUGUGGUUUAAUUCGAUGCAACGCGAAGAACCUUACCCAGGGUUUGACAUCCUGCGAAUCCCUUGGAACGAGGGAGUGCCUUCGGGAGCGCAGUGACAGGUGGUGCUUGGCUGUCGUCAGCUCGUGUCGUGAGCAU